GCUGAAGCAAUCUACCAAUUAUGGAAGCUAUUCUAGCGACGCAUACACAAGUGUAUUCUCUUGCAAGUUUACGUUCGCGCUCAGCAGGUUACAAAACGCGCUCAUCAUGUGGUUUUUGAAAACAGCACCGCUAUGCAGCUAUCUCUUUCGCUCUCACUGCUUUCAAGUUGCCUUAAGAUAUUCGCCACAGACGACGCGUGGGCGUGGCUUCCGCUUUGCUGCUGGCAGUAAUGAAAGGCUGCGGAAGUAACAGCACAACAACAGCAAAAACUUUAGCCACAACAAAAAAUAGCUUAUGCCCCCGCCAGUCUACUAAUUAAUUACGGUGUAAUUAAAAAUUUUUCAAGCUUAACUUUUAUUAGUUUAUCUCGGCAUUUGCAUCUCGCUCGCAAUAAAUCACGCUUCAGUAGUUCGGCUGCAUUUGUUGUUAGUGUUAAUGGUAUUGUUGUUGACGAUGGUGGUGGUGGUGGUGGUAAUGGCGGCAUGCACCACUGCCGGAGACAGCGACGCGCUGACGACAACCAACGGUUGAAAAGUAAAUAUUGAUAUUUCAUGUUAUUUUUUCGUCUGCCUUGCCAUUUUGACAUGAGUCCAUGUUUGUAUGUAUGUAAGUAUGUGCAUUUGUUUUGAUGUUUUUCACUUUUUCCAUGUUUCCCUUUGAUAAAAUAUGCGAUUUAUUGCACAUUUAAUGUAACUCAGCUCCUGCGACAUGCCUCACCUUGUCAACCAUUUGCUGGUUUUGCAUGUAACAAAGUUCAGAUAGAACCAUUUACAAGCCGCUUAAAUAUUUUGCAAAAGGGAAGAGCGAGUAUGAGGCUUUCUUUUGGAUUAUGGUAUAUACAUAUACUUCUACUACGAGGUGUGUUCAAAAAGUAUUGCGAAUCGUAACUGACAGUUUUCUUCGAUUGCAGGGGCGUGGUGCAUCAUGAGUUCUUGCCACAGGGAAGAACGGUCAAUAAGGAAUAUUACCUGCAAGUUAUGCGCAUUACGCUUCUCUUGACGAGAUAAAGACGGCAUCGAAGGAGGAGCUGAAGAAGAUAAAAAAUGAUUUUUUGAAGUGCUUCGAAGAUUGAAAAAACCGUUGGCACAAGUCUUUAA
This is a long non-coding RNA of Bactrocera dorsalis (oriental fruit fly), 1098 nucleotides long. RefSeq lists it as uncharacterized. The transcript is spliced from 2 exons. The record is from RefSeq and is a predicted model, not a curated record. Lineage: Eukaryota; Metazoa; Arthropoda; Insecta; Diptera; Tephritidae.